ACGAACGCUGGCGGCGUGCCUAAUCCAUGCAAGUCGAGCGAAGUUUUUCUGGUGCUUGCACCGGAAAAACUUAGCGGCGAACGGGUGAGUAACACGUAAAGAACCUGCCUCAUAGACUGGGACAACUAUUGGAAACGAUAGCUAAUACCGGAUAAUAGCAUUAACUGCAUGGUUGAUGUUUAAAAGUUGGUUUUGCUAACACUAUGAGAUGGCUUUGCGGUGCAUUAGCUAGUUGGUGGGGUAAAGGCCUACCAAGGCGACGAUGCAUAGCCGACCUGAGAGGGUGAUCGGCCACACUGGGACUGAGACACGGCCCAGACUCCUACGGGAGGCAGCAGUAGGGAAUCUUCCGCAAAGGGCGAAAGCCUGACGGAGCAACGCCGCGUGAGUGAAGAAGGAUUUCGGUUCGUAAAGCUCUGUUGUUAGGGAAGAAUGAUUGUGUAGUAACUAUACACAGUAGAGACGGUACCUAACCAGAAAGCCACGGCUAACUACGUG
Molecule: ribosomal RNA, 498 nt
Filed under: uncultured bacterium
Lineage: Bacteria
Description: partial 16S ribosomal RNA
Rfam family: Bacterial small subunit ribosomal RNA
Source: RNAcentral